RNAcentral lists this ribosomal RNA (497 nucleotides) under uncultured bacterium. RNAcentral's name for it is "partial 16S ribosomal RNA". It matches the Rfam family "Bacterial small subunit ribosomal RNA", at positions 28 to 507 of the family's 1533-position model. The record is from RNAcentral.
GAUGAACGCUGGCGGCGUGCCUAAUACAUGCAAGUCGAGCGAACGGACGAGAAGCUUGCUUUUCUGAUGUUAGCGGCGGACGGGUGAGUAACACGUGGAUAACCUACCUAUAAGACUGUGAUAACUUCGGGAAACCGGAGCUAAUACCGGAUAAUAUUUUGAACCGCAUGGUUCAAAAGUGAAAGACGGUCUUGCUGUCACUUAUAGAUGGAUCCGCGCUGCAUUAGCUAGUUGGUAAGGUAACGGCUUACCAAGGCAACGAUGCAUAGCCGACAUGAGAGGGUGAUCGGCCACACUGGAACUGAGACACGGUCCAGACUCCUACGGGAGGCAGCAGUAGGGAAUCUUCCGCAAUGGGCGAAAGCCUGACGGAGCAACGCCGCGUGAGUGAUGAAGGUCUUCGGAUCGUAAAACUCUGUUAUUAGGGAAGAACAUAUGUGUAAGUAACUGUGCACAUCUUGACGGUACCUAAUCAGAAAGCCACGGCUAACUACGUG